Molecule: ribosomal RNA, 1249 nt
Filed under: uncultured Gammaproteobacteria bacterium
Lineage: Bacteria; Pseudomonadati; Pseudomonadota; Gammaproteobacteria
Description: bacterial SSU rRNA
Rfam family: Bacterial small subunit ribosomal RNA
Source: RNAcentral
GAGUUUGAUCCUGGCUCAGAUUGAACGCUGGCGGCAGGCUUAACACAUGCAAGUCGAACGGUAACAUGAGUGCUUGCACUUGAUGACGAGUGGCGGACGGGUGAGUAAUGUAUGGGGAUCUGCCGAAUGGAGGGGGACAACAGUUGGAAACGACUGCUAAUACCGCAUAAAGUUGAGAGACCAAAGCAUGGGACCUUCGGGCCAUGCGCCAUUUGAUGAACCCAUAUGGGAUUAGCUAGUUGGUAGGGUAAUGGCUUACCAAGGCGACGAUCUCUAGCUGGUCUGAGAGGAUGACCAGCCACACUGGAACUGAGACACGGUCCAGACUCCUACGGGAGGCAGCAGUGGGGAAUAUUGCACAAUGGGGGAAACCCUGAUGCAGCCAUGCCGCGUGUAUGAAGAAGGCCUUCGGGUUGUAAAGUACUUUCGGUGAUGAGGAAGGUGGUGUAUCUAAUAGGUGCAUCAAUUGACGUUAAUUACAGAAGAAGCACCGGCUAACUCCGUGCCAGCAGCCGCGGUAAUACGGAGGGUGCGAGCGUUAAUCGGAAUGACUGGGCGUAAAGGGCAUGUAGGCGGAUAAUUAAGUUAGGUGUGAAAGCCCUGGGCUCAACCUAGGAAUUGCACUUAAAACUGGUUAACUAGAGUAUUGUAGAGGAAGGUAGAAUUCCACGUGUAGCGGUGAAAUGCGUAGAGAUGUGGAGGAAUACCGGUGGCGAAGGCGGCCUUCUGGACAGAUACUGACGCUGAGAUGCGAAAGCGUGGGGAGCAAACAGGAUUAGAUACCCUGGUAGUCCACGCUGUAAACGAUGUCGAUUUGGAGUUUGUUGCCUAGAGUGAUGGGCUCCGAAGCUAACGCGAUAAAUCGACCGCCUGGGGAGUACGGCCGCAAGGUUAAAACUCAAAUGAAUUGACGGGGGCCCGCACAAGCGGUGGAGCAUGUGGUUUAAUUCGAUGCAACGCGAAGAACCUUACCUGGUCUUGACAUCCACAGAAUCUUGCAGAGAUGUGAGAGUGCCUUCGGGAACUGUGAGACAGGUGCUGCAUGGCUGUCGUCAGCUCGUGUUGUGAAAUGUUGGGUUAAGUCCCGCAACGAGCGCAACCCUUAUCCUUUGUUGCCAUCGGUUAGGCCGGGAACUCAAAGGAGACUGCCGUUGAUAAAGCGGAGGAAGGUGGGGACGACGUCAAGUCAUCAUGGCCCUUACGGCCAGGGCUACACACGUGCUACAAUGGCGUAUACAAAGGGAGGCGA